Molecule: long non-coding RNA, 1124 nt
Organism: Panicum hallii
Lineage: Eukaryota; Viridiplantae; Streptophyta; Magnoliopsida; Poales; Poaceae
Exons: 3
Source: RefSeq, a predicted model, not a curated record
CAGAGUUAACUGUGGCCUUGGAUCAACAGUCCUGACGACAUAGAGAGACAAGACUCCUCGCCCUUAUGAGCACGAGUACAUGACUGAAGCAACUUUGAUACGCUUCCUCUACGUUAUGCCUAUGUUAACCUCCCUGCCUUUUCAUGUUCUCAUGACAACCAUGAAUCACAACAAUGAAAAAUUACAACAAUCUUUUGAUUUCUUGGGUAUUAGACAAGUAUUGAUUGCACUAGGGUAUAUAUAGCUGAUUGCCCAAUGUCUAGGUCGCAGUGUGGCACCAAUGCUUUGCUCCAGGCCCAGACAACAACAUGAGCCCAGCCCCUUAUCAGUUGUUAGAUUGACUCAUCGAGAAUCAUGAGAUUGCCAUGCCCAAGUUGUCAAGGUUAGAAAGGGAUUGGUCAAGGAUGAUUAAUGUUAGAAGUUCGCAUUGCGGUGGUUCUGGUGCACCACCAAUUGUCCCUGGAUUAUUGCUUUCAUCUGAAACUAAAUUCACUUAAGAUUGUGGGACCUUCUCUCUGGUUGAGCUGCGUCCAGAAACUGAAGAUUCGUUCACAUGGAAAGUGAACAGCUGAUAGGCAAUGCACUGCAAUGCCAACUUAUCUUGGGUGGCACCAAGGUUCAACCAGAUUGCAUGGGACUGACCUCAUUUGCAAAACAUAUGGGCUUCUCUUUUGGGUUAAAAUGUUUCUUUGGCUCGCUUUCAGAAGGCAUCAUUGGACUGCAGACUGGUGGAUACGGCAUGGCUUACAAGCUUCAGAGACUUGUAGACUUUGUGAUCAGUAAGCUGAAUCUUCUGACCACAUUAUACUCAGAUGUUCUUUAUCUCUACAGAUUUGGUUUGCGAUAUUAUCUAGACUGGGCUUCAGGAACAUAAGAGGCAUGGUGUGAGUCCGUUAUUACAAGAUUGGUGGAUCAACCCGCGGGUGCAUUUACUGGCAGGAAAAUGAAAAGACCUUGAUUCUCUGAUCGCUCUGGUCACCUAGAAUUUGUGGAAGGAAAGGAAUGCAUGUCUUAUGGAAUGAUGAGGCGAUAGUGCUGCAACACAUAUGGGUUGUUUGUUUUCCGAAUAAUAACAGAAUAAGCAGAGUAGCUAAAGUCCUCUAGGUUUAUUUAUGAUGUAAUAU